Molecule: long non-coding RNA, 6204 nt
Filed under: Homo sapiens (human)
Lineage: Eukaryota; Metazoa; Chordata; Mammalia; Primates; Hominidae
Description: non-protein coding STK24-AS1:9
Source: RNAcentral
AGGCCGCAGCCGCCGCCUGUCGGCCCGGCCCGGGUCCCAGCUGCUCCUGCGGCGCUCCCACGCCCCCGCGGGCGGGCGGCGGGGCCGGGAGGGGGCCUCGGCUGGGGCGGGCGCCGGGAGGGACCGAGUCGGGGCCGGAGGCUGGCCGCGUGCCCACCGGGCCGGCGCCGGGGCGAGCCUGGGCCGCGGCCCCCUCUUCCCGCCAGCCAGCCCACCCCGCCCCGGCGGCCUCUGGGAAAACGCGUCCCGGGCGAGCCCCUGAGGGCAGGAUCGGAGUCGGGGGCACCUGGGGAAGGAGAGCGCCCCGUGGGGCCUCGGCCGGUGGCCUGUGCCAAAAGGCCGGGCAGAGCUGCUUCGGUGUCUGGGUGAAGUUUCCAGCCAACCCAAGAAGGAAACCGAAAGGGAAGAGGCCGAGAGAGAGGUUAAUUCCUAGUGCUUUGGUUACCGAAAACAGCCCGGCUGGGACUGCUGGGCUGGGAACUUAGCUAAGCAGUGCGGAGGCUGAACCCCACCAUCUCUGGGAUCCGCAGCAAAUCAGAAGCCCCCACCCACGAUAAGGGGAAAAUGGGGCGCAGAGGGCAGGGAGGAAGGGAAGAGAAUGGAAGGAAAGCGCGUCUGGACUUUGAACUGCAGCCCUCUCCCUCUUUCCCUUGCCUCGGAAGCUCCAGGCCCACUCAGCACCAGUUCUGUCUCCUCUUUUCAGCCGCCUUCUCUCUAGCUACUGAGGGGAAAAGUCAGGAUGAAGCGGGUCCCUCGGCCUCCAGAAGGUGUUUUAUUACAGUCGCAAACAGGUAGAGCGGCAGCCACCCCAGUGAUGACUCCCUGCUCCUUAGAUUGUAGGGACGCUGGCACCUCACUCAUGCUCCUAAGUGGCCAUUUUGCGCCCUGGCUGGGCGAGUUAGGCAGACAAAAUGAGCCCCCAAAAGUUUAAAGGCCUCCACCAAAGGAGUAUUUCUUUUCUGAGGUGUCAUUGUAUUCCAUCCACGAACUUCAGUUCCCCCGGGUGCUCUGGAUCUGACAUGGAGUAGGAUGCUAACAUCUAAUCCCUUCUUUCCCUUUGGAAAGAUGCAUGUUUUUUCUCGGAGUCCUAGGGAAUACCUUAGAAUACUUUCAUGGUUGUCAUUGGUACACCCAUCCCUUGAGGAGCCCUGCCACCCGUAAGUAGGACUGCAAGGAAAUACAAAAUUAAGAGAAGUAUGAACCCUGAUACCCAGGAACUUAAAAUCAGGUGUAUAAAUUUUGUACACCUAAAAAAUAUGGUACCUAAAGAGGCGAACAGCAAAACAAGCAAGAAUGUGAAUCUUUAAAAUGUUUCUAUUCUUCAGCGCAGCCCAGGAAUUCUACCUAAAGUAACAUAUCCUAAGGCAACAACCAAGAAGUGUGGAAGAAUGCAUGUAAGAAGACACAGUGAUGUUUAGAAUCCUGGGGAAACGGAACAGCCAAAAAGUCUCACAGAGGUUAAGUAAAUAAUAGCAUUUUCAUACGAGUACUAUGUAGUCAUUUAAAAUUAUGUCUUUCAGUACCUAGUAAUGGGGAAAAUGUAUUCAUUAUAUAUUAUUAAAGAAAAUACAGGGUACAAAACACUGUAUAUAGACUGAUCUCAAAUGACUAUAUAUAUAUUAAUAUAUAUGGCCUACAGACACACAGUCAUGUAUUGCUUAACAAUGGGUAUACAUUCUGAGAAAUGUGUUCUUAGUUGAUUUUGUCACGUGAGCAUCAUAGAGUGUACUUCCAGAAACCUAGAUGGCAUAGCCUACUACACACCUAGGCUAUAUGGUAUGACGUAUUGCACCUGGACCACAAACCUGAACAGCAUGUGACUGAACUCAAUACUGGAGGCAACUAUAACACAAUGGUAAAUAUUUGUGGAUCUAAACAUGUCUAAGCAUAGAAAAGGGACAGUAAAAAUAUUCUUCUAGGGUCAGCAGAGCCAGGGCAAUAACCUGGCACCAAGAUAAAGAGCAAGAAACUAGAUGAAUGGAUGGAAAUGUCUGGAUGCUGAUCUGAGACAUUACCAUGGUAAAUGCUCAGAAAUCACUUUGCAGUGGGCUAAUUGCCAGCAAAUAAGUCACAGCAGAUGGGGGACAAAGGCCCAUAGUACCCUGGGUAUAAAAAAAUAACCGGAAUCCUAGUUUGUGUCCUGAGGCUAGUGAGGCUCAAAACAGGGAGAUUCCGGCAGGAUGUAACUUCUCUGGACACAGUGACUUGCAUCCAUUAGCUGGUCUGUUGCCCCGAACCCUGUUUAUCUUCUCUCCACACUGACCAUUGUUUCAUCCUUUGACAAUGUUCAUACUGUUGAGCACCAUUCUUAUCGAAAGAAGGGAAGGAAGCAACAUGGGAGUUACUGGUUCUCCUUGGCCCUAUGCAGGUAGUACCGAGUAUUCCCCAUGGCAGAAGUAGGUCUCCACCUUAUUUGUUUUUGCACAACAGAGAUGAUGCACAGGGCCUGAGCCCGGGAUCAGAUCCGGUGCAAUUGCCUAUUAUGUUCAUUCAUUCACACCUUUUUUGAAUACCAACUAUUAAUACAUGUCAGAUACCCAGUUCAGUACUGGGCAUAUAAACAUUAGAUCCUCAGGUGCCUCUUAACCCAUCCUAGGGACCUGGUCUCCCAGAAUCCUAACUUUGGAUGAAUACAAUACCAUAAUUGAUUAAACUUAGAGUGGCAAUAGCUAUCAUUUCCACCAAGGAAAGAAAAGGAUCAUCCUCUCACCCUCUUCCUCUUGUCACUUUCCCUCCACCCCCAAUGUAUGAUUACAACAGGUUAUACACUACCGUAAGUCCAGAAGGAGAUUAUGAGAGUCUCCAUAGAGAUGAUGCAUUUUAUGGUCUCCAUGGAGAUACUAACCCAUUGAGUUAUUUACUUUAUCCAUUGAAUUAUUUUUCUUCCCUGGUCCUCUUUGUCUUUUGUGUUCACUUAAGGACAUCAGUCUGGCAAUGAAUUAUGAUCUGAAAUAUAUUCUGGACCACAAAGAAUAUUUCCAUACCCCUAUAUGGAGCCCCUCCAAAUAUAAAGCCCCUAUGUAUUUGCUGCCCCUAAGCUAGUUUGUACGCACUCUCAGCAGAGCUCAGAGAGGAACAGAAAACAAGAAUUCCACAAUCAAUCCCUUCACUUUUCUUUCUAAGUUGAAAAGAUAAACACCCCCAAAUGCUGCUUUAUAAAGAACAGCUAGACAAGUAGAGCAUUAGCAAUUUAAAUUCAGAGAUUAAAGAAAGGGACUUACAUGGUGAACUUUAAAGGGAGAAAUAGGAGUAGCUUGGAUAAGUAACUAACAGAAGGCUUAGACAAAUUUCUACACAUGUUCAGUAGGUGAAGACAAAUUAUCAAGAUCAGUUUAAAGAAGAAUGUCUAGUCAUUGUUGGAUGACACAAUAGCAAGAAAAGGUAUGCCAAAGCCCCAGAAAAAUAUCCCAGCUACAUUGAGGAAUGGUACCAAUAAGGUUUCAUUCUGUGCGUGGAGAGCUCAGAGGGCAGGCUCUUGCAGGGAUAUCACCCUAAGUAGGUUUUCAGUUGCACCCUGCCUUAGUUUGCUAGGGCUGCCGUAACAAAGAACCACCAACUGGAUGGCCAAAACGACAGAAAUUUAUUUCCUCACCAUUCUGGAGGCUGGAAGUCCAAGAUGAAGGUGUCAGCAAGAUUGGUUUCUUCCGAGGCCUCUCUCGGGCUUGUAGCGGCCAGCUUCUCCCUCUGUGUUCUCGUGGUCUUCACUGUGUGUUCCUGUGUCCUAAUUUCCUGUUUUUAUUAUUUAUUUAUUUAUUUAUUUAUUUAUUUAUUUAUUUAUUUUGAGAUGGAGUCUCGCUCUGUUGCCCAGGUUGGAGUGCAGUGGUGAGAUCUCGGCUCCCUGCAACCGCUGUCUCCCAGGUUCAAGCAUUUUUCUUGCCUCAGCCUCCCUGGUAGCUGGGACUACAGGCGAGCGCCACCACACCCGGCUAAUUUUUGUAUUUUUAGUAGAGACGGGGUUUCACCAUGUUGGCCAGGCUGGUCUCGAACUCCUGGCCUCAAGUGAUCUGCCCACUUUGGCCUCCCAGAGUGUGUGAGGCACCACGCCUGGCCCUAAUUCUUUGUUUUUAGAAAGAUACCGGAGUCGUACUGGAUUAAGGCUCAUCCCAAUUACUUCAUUUUUGCUUAGUUACCUUAUUAAAGUUCCUAUCUCCAAAUACAGCCACAUUCUAAGGUACUAGGAAUUAGGACUUCAGCAUAGGAAUUUUGGAGGGACACAAGUCAGCCCGUAACACACCUCCUUUUCUGCAAAUGUGUGUCUGGUCAGCCCCCCUUUAGCUGGGUCUUCCAGGCUCAGCUUCAGGAAUGAGAGCUUCCUUCUCCCUUGCCAAGGCCUGUGGACCUUUCUGCGCACUUCACAUUGCACACUUCUGCUAAUAAGCAUUGCUUCAUAUUUCCUUGGGUGUAGGCCUUAAACUUUAUCUUGCAUAGAAACCAGAACACUAGUCUCCAAUCACUGUACAACUGAGAGCAGAAACAGAGAAUGCAUAGGUGUUUGCUUGAUAAAAUAUUCCUGAUUAAAAGAAAUCAUCUGGAACACGUGACAAAAAUCUGCCAGAAAAGGGUUCAGAAUAUUUUGCAGGCCUAUCCAUACUCAGUUCAGGCAAAAGAUUUAAACAAGAUCCAUCUUUCUCCCCCACUGCCUCCUCCCCUGUGUUGGGAGGUGCAAUUUACCAGGGGAGUUGGGGGUUGAGCCUCCAAGGGGGCUCUUUGUUGCACAUGCUCUCUGCUGCAGUUCUGGGGGCUCACACCAGGGAACAUCAGGCUGUUUAGAAGGACUCACUUGAACGAGCUCACUAGAAAAAUUCUCAUGUGCAAUUUUGCUUGGCAAAGAACCAAUGAACAGGGCUUGUCACCCUCUAAACAGUGGCCACUUGACCCUGCCAAUCUGCUCAUAAAGACUUCAGUAUGCAAAGAUUCAUCAAGAGCUGUGUGUGUAGAUUUCCCUUCCUCUUGAAGCUGGAUUUGCUUUCAGACAUACCCAGAAAGGGCAUACAUGAAAUCAUCCCCAGAAGGAUGAUGUCAUCCAGCCUACAGUCACACAACUGCAGCACUAGUUUUUAAAAGCUCUUGGCCCUGUUUUCUGACAAGGAAGACAAAUUGUAAGAAAUCAUUUUAAUUUUCACUUCAACCAGAUCCAGGGGAUUAUGUGCUUGAAGAUCAUUGUACAAGCACACAAAGGUAAAAUGUGCCUAUGAGUUGCAGAUACUCAUUCCACAAUGCACAAAACUUAAGUCAGCUUAAAAUCAUCACAAAAAUGUUGACCUAUACACUACCCUAUCAUCAAAGCUUCACCUGCAAAAAGGGCAAGCAUGUUGUCUUUUACCUUAAUUUUCCUGCCAUUUUUUAAAUUUGGUUUCCCAAAGAAGCUACGUUGGAGAUACUGUUAGUCAGAAGUCUUUGAAUAACAAAUGACAAAUACUUAGCUCAGACCUCCAUAAGCAAAAAAGGGACAUUUUAGUUCAGCAACAAAAAUCAACACUUGGCUAAAUCAGGCUUGGAUCAAUCCAAGAAGAUGAGUUCAAUGAUAAAAUCAACUCUGUCUUCCUCUGCCUCUCACCUCUUCUCAGCCUCUCCUAGAUGAGAACCUCUCAUCUAGGUUCUCUAGGUAUGGUGUCAAGAGCUGCCCCAUGUGGUCCUUGUAAUCCCAGAGAGAAGAGAGUGACCUUUUCUUACCCAGUGCCCAUAUGCCAAAUGUAGUGGAGGAAUUCACAUCUGUGCAUGUCCAUUCUUGGGACCAAAGGGCAAGAAGGCACAGUAAUGGGAGAGUCCAACCUGAACGGCAUAAUGGAACAAUGGAAUGUGGAAGGGGCAGUUCCCCCACGCAAAGAAGAUUCCUGGCCUAAUACAUUCCACUUCUUGGCUGCCCAGACAUGCAUGCACACAUACGCACGCACACACACGUUCUCUUUUUCCAUAUGUAGAACUUCUUGUGUGUACUCCCCUCCCCAAAUAAUACAGCCAGUCCAUGAGUAACCAUUUAUACACUCACCUCUUCCCCACAGCGAGUCAACCCUACUGCCUUCUACUGAGGCCAUUUGUUUCCUGGUCCAGGGGCUCUGGACAAUCUGGUUUUCUCUUUUUCAAGCUGAGAUAUGGCUCUUCACAGGCCAGCAAUCUCUAAUUGGUAAAUGUGAUCACCCUUCAUGUGUUUAAUAUAUUAUGGAGGAGGAUAUGUUUGAAAACUACCUUAAAAACUCUCAUUUG